This 505-nucleotide ribosomal RNA is filed under the name uncultured bacterium. Its description in RNAcentral is "partial 16S ribosomal RNA". It matches the Rfam family "Bacterial small subunit ribosomal RNA", at positions 30 to 523 of the family's 1533-position model. The record is from RNAcentral.
AUUGAACGCUGGCGGCAGGCUUAACACAUGCAAGUCGAGCGGGGUGAUGGUGCUUGCACUAUCACUUAGCGGCGGACGGGUGAGUAAUGCUUAGGAAUCUGCCUAUUAGUGGGGGACAACAUCUCGAAAGGGAUGCUAAUACCGCAUACGUCCUACGGGAGAAAGCAGGGGAUCACUUGUGACCUUGCGCUAAUAGAUGAGCCUAAGUCGGAUUAGCUAGUUGGUGGGGUAAAGGCCUACCAAGGCGACGAUCUGUAGCGUGUCUGAGAGGAUGAUCCGCCACACUGGGACUGGGACACGGCCCAGACUCCUACGGGAGGCAGCAGUGGGGAAUAUUGGACAAUGGGGGGAACCCUGAUCCAGCCAUGCCGCGUGUGUGAAGAAGGCCUUAUGGUUGUAAAGCACUUUAAGCGAGGAGGAGGCUCUUUUGGUUAAUACCCAAGAUGAGUGGACGUUACUCGCAGAAUAAGCACCGGCUAACUCUGUGCCAGCAGCCGCCCAGUAA